GGCCCUGCUGCGCGCCGCUGCGCUCGGAGCCCGGCGGGGGCGCGUCGGAGCUGCGCACCGGCAGGGUGCCUGCUCCUCAGAGCUUCAUCUAAGGAAGAUCUCUGCCAGCGACCUGUGGCAAUGAGCACACAACUGAGGAACCUGUCCUUGUGAGACAGCAUCCUUGAAAAAGUGACGUUUAAGCCAACAUCCAAAUGAUACGUCAUGAGGAGCAGACAAGAUAAAAGGAUAUUUCCCCCCGAACGCUUGGCAGCCUGGAACCACUUCAUUCCAGAGUGCAGCUUCCCUGGGCGGCCCCUCUGCCAGGCCCUGUGCUGGGAGCCGACGACGGACAGACCAGGCCCGAUCCGCACCGCUGAGAAGCCCGCCAGCAGAGAAGGGAUGUGUGGGCAACUGAUGCUGACCAAGAGCAGAAUGAAUUUGGAGUCAGUUCACCUCCCCAAGCCCCGUCUUGCCUGUCUGUCGAGUAAAGGCGAUAACAGCGUGUUGAAGACCUGUGAGAACUGAGUGAGAUUGUGCGGAAGCAGGAAGCAGGAUCCGGGCGGAAAAACGUGAACCGCUGUUUACGAACUUUGCCUCCCUAAGCAGACCCAAUUCCUUGAAGGAUUCUUCCUGGAUGGUUGGAAACAUCAGACAAUAUUUCCGGCUGGCUGUUCUCCUGGGAGGGCCACACACCAGCAGAGGGAGGUGGGGAGGCCAGUGUGCUGCCCUUCCCUGCCCGGACCUCCUAUUUACCACCAGCGCAAGGGGUGUUGGGCCGUCUGAUCUGCAGAGGCCCUUCUAGACUAAAGAUUCUCAGUCUGUGGGCCAAAGUUAGGCCAAAGCAGAGGUCACCUCUUGGCGGACUUAUUGGCAUGACUGUCAGCAUCUCCCUUUGCCUCAGCCAGACCAGUUCAAUUUGACAUUGGUCUGUGGGUCCUCAGCAGCCCUCCCCCACCAAGUCAGGGAUUCCCUUUCUCUCCAGGAAUGCCCCACCAGUCACCCUCACUCCAGGCCUUGCCUCCAGCUGUUCCCCCUCCUCGUAAUGCCUUUGCUUUUCGUCUCUGAGCAAACUGCACAUCCUGGGAGGGCCAGUGGCAAACCUGCAUCAUCUCCAUUCGGUCAGCCUUCUGAGAGGGCAGAGGCUGUGCAGGGCCCUGCACUGGGAGCAGGUCAGGGGUGGGGUAUGCUCAGUGUGUGCCGUGCUGAGUACCCCGCUCACAGGAACCUUGCCCUCUGUGCUGGAGGGGCUUUCUUCCUGGCCUGUCGCAUCCUGCCCUGCUGUUCCCUAUUUGCCUCUCAGGAGAGCACAGUGUGGGCCUUAGGAGCAUGGGCUCAGAGGUAAGACCCCUUGGCUUGUGUGCAAGCUCCCCACCCCUAUUGAGAUGAUCAUGGGCAAGUUAGGGGAGCCCCCCUGCACCUCAGUGUCCUCAUCUGUAAAGUGGGCAUAGGAUAGUACCUACUCCAUGGAGUUCUCAUGAGCAGUAAACAGAUAAUCUAUGUAAAGCGCCAAGCAUUGCCCCCAGCAUAUCAUAGGGGUUCAGCGUUACCCAGGUGCAAUGUUCAAACGGUGCUGUUGUGAGGACCCUGGCCCCUCUCCCCACUGGCCCCCGGGCUUCCCAAGGGCAGGGCUUUGGAGGAACGUGAAGGUACAGAAUGUGUGGUUGAGGACCACAUCAUUAAUGUGUAUUUGAUUGUUUCAUCAAUCCCUUGAGCCCCAUGGACUCCCAGGAAAGCCUAAAGGGAAGGGACCAGGACAGGUCAGUUUUGAUGUAUGGAGUGUGGAGCUUGGGGCACCCUGGAGGAGUUCCUGGGCAUUGGGGGUGCCUGGUAAGCCCUGGGGUGGGGGCUACUGCUAAGGGCAAAGCAGCUUUGGCCACCCUGGCCUCAUUCAGCAUCAAGGAGACUGAGGGAAUGACAUCAAGUGACAGGUGGCCCUGUCUCCUCCUCAGGCCCCAGAGCUUCUUGGGUCCUCAGCUGGAUUGGAACGCCAGGCCACUGCAUCUGCCUGGCUACAGACCUAGACUGGAGGUGGAGAAUUUGGGAUGCUGCCGGGGAGGAGGCCUGGCCAGGGGCAUCUGAGAACCACACUACAGGGGAGACUUUGACCUGGAGAAAGGGUGCUCCAAAAACAGGGUGACCAACUCUUCACCGGUUGCCUGAGGCUUUCCUGGUUUUCGCUUGGCAAGUGCUAAAACCCGGGAAGCCCCUCCGUUUCAGACAAAGUGGGACAGUUGGUCAGCCCUCUUCCACGCUGCUCUGUGUCCACCCUCCCCGCUCCCUGACUAGUCGCCUGCGCCUCCUGGGCCUGCGCCUCCCUGGAAACCACCCUAGUCUCCUGUGAGGGCCCCCCAAAGGCCUUCCACCCCAGAAAGCUCCCGCUCUGGGGCCUGUUCCGAUAGAAGGCUCUAACUGGCCAGAUGGAGUCUGCCGCACUGUCCUGCCAGGACCCUCUACAGCCGCAAUGAGAGACUGACAAAUGGGACUUCUCAGCUCACCCUGCCCACAGGCAGGCCGAAGUGCAGGGCCCUGGCCACCGAGGGGGCAGGCCUGGGGCCCGAGGCUGAGCGGCUCUGCCGCGGCAUCCUCGGAUAAUUGGCGGGAGCACCCAGCCAGGCUCAGGCUGCCCUCCGGCCCCCUCCUCUGCUGGCUCAGUGCCCGGUCCAGCAGGGGCCGACCAUCAAUAAUUGGGUCACCCCCACUCCCAUCCCCACCAUCAUGCUUCCACCAGUGAUAGCAUUUCA
This is a long non-coding RNA of Camelus dromedarius (Arabian camel), 2723 nucleotides long. RefSeq lists it as uncharacterized. NCBI's taxonomy places the organism in Eukaryota, Metazoa, Chordata, Mammalia, Artiodactyla, Camelidae. The transcript has 8 exons. The record is from RefSeq and is a predicted model, not a curated record.